This 523-nucleotide ribosomal RNA is filed under the name uncultured bacterium. Its description in RNAcentral is "bacterial SSU rRNA". It matches the Rfam family "Bacterial small subunit ribosomal RNA", at positions 355 to 896 of the family's 1533-position model. The record is from RNAcentral.
UGGGGAAUUUUGCGCAAUGGGCGAAAGCCUGACGCAGCGACGCCGCGUGGAGGAUGAAGGUCUUCGGAUUGUAAACUCCUUUUGUAGGGAAAGAUAAUGACGGUACCCUGCGAAUGAGCCACGGCUAACUCUGUGCCAGCAGCCGCGGUAAGACAGAGGUGGCAAGCGUUGUUCGGAAUUACUGGGCUUAAAGGGCGCGUAGGUGUCCUGGCAAGUCAGAUGUGGAAUCUUUCUGCUUAACGGAAAAAUUGCAUUUGAAACUGCCGGGAUUGAGUCAGACAGGGGAUGGCGGAAUUCCUGGUGUAGCGGCGAAAUGCGUAGAUAUCAGGAGGAAGGCCUGUGGUGAAGACGGCCAUCUGGGUCUGAACUGACACUGAGGCGCGAAAGCGUGGGUAGCAAACAGGAUUAGAUACCCUGGUAGUCCACGCCCUAAACGGUGGGUACUAGGUGUGGGGCUCGCAAGGGUUCCGUGCCGAAGGGAAACCAUUAAGUACCCCGCCUGGGGAGUACGGCCGCAAGGUUG